Molecule: ribosomal RNA, 708 nt
Filed under: uncultured bacterium
Lineage: Bacteria
Description: bacterial SSU rRNA
Rfam family: Bacterial small subunit ribosomal RNA
Source: RNAcentral
AGUCGAGGGGCAGCAUGGUCUUAGCUUGCUAAGGCCGAUGGCGACCGGCGCACGGGUGAGUAACGCGUAUCCAACCUGCCUUACACUCUUGGACAGCCUUCUGAAAGGGAGAUUAAUACAAGAUGUUAUCAUGAGUAAGCAUUUUCGCAUGAUUAAAGGUUUACCGGUGUAAGAUGGGGAUGCGUUCCAUUAGAUAGUAGGCGGGGUAACGGCCCACCUAGUCUUCGAUGGAUAGGGGUUCUGAGAGGAAGGUCCCCCACAUUGGAACUGAGACACGGUCCAAACUCCUACGGGAGGCAGCAGUGAGGAAUAUUGGUCAAUGGACGAGAGUCUGAACCAGCCAAGUAGCGCGAAGGAUGAAGGUUCUAUGGAUUGUAAACUUCUUUUAUACGGGAAUAAACGGAUCCACGUGUGGAUUUUUGCAUGUACCGUAUGAAUAAGGAUCGGCUAACUCCGUGCCAGCAGCCGCGGUAAUACGGAGGAUCCGAGCGUUAUCCGGAUUUAUUGGGUUUAAAGGGAGCGUAGAUGGGUUGUUAAGUCAGUUGUGAAAGUUUGCGGCUCAACCGUAAAAUUGCAAUUGAUACUGGCAGUCUUGAGUACAGUUGAGGUAGGCGGAAUUCGUGGUGUAGCGGUGAAAUGCUUAGAUAUCACGAAGAACUCCGAUUGCGAAGGCAGCUUACUAACCUGUAACUGACAUUGAUGCUCGAA